Molecule: non-coding RNA, 113 nt
Organism: Acanthosepion pharaonis
Lineage: Eukaryota; Metazoa; Mollusca; Cephalopoda; Sepiida; Sepiidae
Source: the annotation of a GenBank genome assembly
UUACGACCACAUCACGUUGAAACACCGGUUCCCGUAUGAUCACUGAAGUUAGGCAACGUCGAACCUGGUCAGUACCUAGAUGGGUGACCACUUGGGAAUGCCAGGUUCUGUAA